Cynocephalus volans (Philippine flying lemur) is the source of this 468-nucleotide long non-coding RNA. RefSeq lists it as uncharacterized. The record is from RefSeq and is a predicted model, not a curated record. The transcript is spliced from 3 exons. NCBI's taxonomy places the organism in Eukaryota, Metazoa, Chordata, Mammalia, Dermoptera, Cynocephalidae.
GAAAAGACGGAGCUGGGGCGGUGUUGAGCCCCGCUGGGUGUGGCUGCCCCUGAGCUGGGAAAGGGGGUCUCUGCGGGGAGGGGCCCGAGGGUGGCGUUUCUCUCCGGACUUGAUUGUCCCCGAGGAGGCGCUGGCGGACGUGCAGGCUGGGAGACGUUCCGCCGGAGCUCCAGGUGAACGCCGCGGUCCUCUAACAGGUUCCUCAGUUUCCCUCAAGAACAUCUAAAAUAAUUUUUCGGAAGAAAUUUGGAAGACAUGGCUGCGAGUUGUCUUUGGUAUCAGCCUUUAUACUGGACUGUAACUUCAGAGAACACUGUUUCAGAGGAGCUAAGGAUCUCUCUGGUGUUCCAAUCAGUGGGAAUUCUGGACUGUUUAAGCAUGUGCUCUGGAACUGAAGAGCUGGGGAAAGGUUCCUGGUGUCCUAAUUUGCUCUCCCUAAGGUUUCACAAAACCUAGACAGCCUUUGUA